GCGCACGGGUGAGUAACGCGUAUCCAAUCUACCCCAUACUCGGGGACAGCCCUCUGAAAGGAGGAUUAAUACCCGAUGUUGCCGGAUGGAGGCAUCUCCUUCCGUCCAAAGAUUCAUCGGUAUGGGAUGAGGAUGCGACUGAUUAGGUAGUAGGCGGGGUAACGGCCCACCUAGCCUUCGAUCAGUAGGGGUUCUGAGAGGAAGGUCCCCCACAUAGGAACUGAGACACGGUCCUAACUCCUACGGGAGGCAGCAGUGAGGGAUAUUGGUCAAUGGGCGGUAGCCUGAACCAGCCAUGCCGCGUGAGGGAUGAAGGCCCUACGGGUCGCAGACCUCUUUUGCCGGGGGAUAACGUGCCCAACGCGUUGGGCAGUGAAGGUACCCGGAGAAUAAGCAUCAGCUAACUCCGUGCCAGCAGCCGCGGUAAUACGGAAGAUGCGAGCGUUAUCCGGAUUUAUUGGGUUUAAAGGGAGCGUAGGCGGGCUGUUAAGUCUGCGGUUAAAUAUCGAUGCUCAACAUCGUUAUGCCGUGGAAACUGGCAGUCUUGAAUGCACGCAAGGAAAGAGGAAUUCGUGGUGUAGCGGUGAAAUGCUUAGAUAUCACGAAGAACCCCGAUUGCGAAGGCAUCUUUCUGGAGUGCGAUUGACGCUGAGGCUCGAAAGUGCGGGUAUCAAACAGGAUUAGAUACCCUGGUAGUCCGCACAGUAAACGAUGAAUGCUCGUCCUUGGCGAUACACGGUCAGGGACUAAGCGAAAGCGUUAAGCAUUCCACCUGGGGAGUACGCCGGCAACGGUGAAACUCAAAGGAAUUGACGGGGGCCUGCACAAGCGGAGGAACAUGUGGUUUAAUUCGAUGAUACGCGAGGAACCUUACCCGGGCUUGAAUUGUGAGUGACGGCAGGCGGAGAUGCCUGCUUCCUUCGGGCACUCAUGAAGGUGCUGCAUGGUUGUCGUCAGCUCGUGCCGUGAGGUGUCGGCUUAAGUGCCAUAACGAGCGCAACCCUUUUCGAUAGUUGCCAUCAGGUAGAGCUGGGCACUCUGUCGAGACUGCCAUCGCAAGAUGUGAGGAAGGUGGGGAUGACGUCAAAUCAGCACGGCCCUUACGUCCGGGGCUACACACGUGUUACAAUGGGGAGUACAGAAAGCAGCUUGCCGGCGACGGUUGGCGAAUCUCUAAAUCUCCUCUCAGUUCGGACUGGAGUCUGCAACCCGACUCCACGAAGCUGGAUUCGCUAGUAAUCGCGCAUCAGCCAUGGCGCGGUGAAUACGUUCCCGGGCCUUGCACACACCGCCCGUCAAG
Molecule: ribosomal RNA, 1300 nt
Filed under: uncultured bacterium
Lineage: Bacteria
Description: bacterial SSU rRNA
Rfam family: Bacterial small subunit ribosomal RNA
Source: RNAcentral